UAGGGAAUAUUGCAAAAUGGGCGAAAGCCCGAUGCAGCAACGCCGCGUGGGCGAUGAAGGCCUUCGGGUCGUAAAGCCCUUUUUGAGGGGAUGAGGAAGGACAGUACCCUCAGAAUAAGCCUCGGCUAACUACGUGCCAGCAGCCGCGGUAAAACGUAGGAGGCGAGCGUUAUCCGGAUUUACUGGGCGUAAAGCGCGUGCAGGCGGAUUGGAGAGUUGGAUGUGAAAGCUCCCGGCUUAACUGGGAGAGGUCGUUCAAUACUUCCAGUCUUGAGUGCAGUAGAGGGAAGUGGAAUUCCGGGUGUAGUGGUGAAAUGCGUAGAUAUCCGGAGGAACACCAGUGGCGAAAGCGGCUUCCUGGACUGUAACUGACGCUCAGACGCGAAAGCGUGGGUAGCAAACA
RNAcentral lists this ribosomal RNA (403 nucleotides) under uncultured bacterium. RNAcentral describes it as "bacterial SSU rRNA". It matches the Rfam family "Bacterial small subunit ribosomal RNA", at positions 355 to 774 of the family's 1533-position model. The record is from RNAcentral.